This 391-nucleotide unclassified non-coding RNA is filed under the name soil metagenome. RNAcentral's name for it is "partial contains 5.8S ribosomal RNA, internal transcribed spacer 2, and large subunit ribosomal RNA". The stretch from base 1 to 122 matches the Rfam family "5.8S ribosomal RNA", at positions 35 to 154 of the family's 154-position model. The record is from RNAcentral.
GAUGAAGAACGCAGCGAAAUGCGAUACUUGGUGUGAAUUGCAGAAUCCCGUGAACCAUCGAGUCUUUGAACGCAAGUUGCGCCCGAAGCCAUUAGGCCGAGGGCACGCCUGCCUGGGCGUCACACGUCGUUGCCCCCCCAUCUACUCCUUCGGGAUUGCGGGGGGCGGAUGAUGGCCUCCCGUGCGCCUCGUCGCGCGGUUGGCAUAAAUGCCAAGUCCUCGGCGACGCACGCCACGACAAUCGGUGGUUGCGAAACCUCGGUUGCCCGUCGUGUGCGGUCGUCGCGCAUCGAGGGCUCGAAAAAAUUGCCGGGCUCCGGCGCGGCUUUCAACGCGACCCCAGGUCAGGCGGGGUUACCCGCUGAAUUUAAGCAUAUCAAUAAGCGGAGGA